UCUUUAAUUGUUGAUGUAGUAGAUUUUUA
RNAcentral lists this non-coding RNA (29 nucleotides) under Rattus norvegicus (Norway rat). The record is from RNAcentral. Lineage: Eukaryota; Metazoa; Chordata; Mammalia; Rodentia; Muridae.